This 72-nucleotide transfer RNA is filed under the name Candidatus Berkelbacteria bacterium. RNAcentral describes it as "tRNA-His". It matches the Rfam family "tRNA". From Rfam's summary of the family: Transfer RNA (tRNA) molecules are approximately 80 nucleotides in length. Their secondary structure includes four short double-helical elements and three loops (D, anti-codon, and T loops). Lineage: Bacteria; Candidatus Berkelbacteria. The record is from RNAcentral.
GUGCUAGUAGCUCAGUGGUAGAGCAAUCGGUUGUGGUCCGAUUGGUCGCAGGUUCGAUCCCUGUCUAGCACC